RNAcentral lists this ribosomal RNA (648 nucleotides) under Triticum aestivum (bread wheat). RNAcentral's name for it is "partial small subunit ribosomal RNA". Lineage: Eukaryota; Viridiplantae; Streptophyta; Magnoliopsida; Poales; Poaceae. The record is from RNAcentral.
AUGUACUUAGCCAGUGCUACAAGACCUGACAUCUCUUUUGCUGUUAGCAAACUGAGUCGGUUUGUCUCAAAACCAGGAGAUGUGCAUUGGAAAGCUCUAGAGAGAGUUUUGCGUUAUUUGAAAGGCACUGCGAAUUAUGGAAUUCACUACACCGGGCACCCAAAGGUGCUUGAAGGGUAUAGUGACUCAAACUGGAUCUCAGAUGUUGAUGAGAUAAAGGCCACGAGCGGUUAUGUAUUCACUCAUGGAGGUGGCGCUGUUUCUUGGAAGUCUUGCAAGCAGACCAUCUUAACGAGGUCAAUAAUGGAAGCAGAACUCACAGCACUAGAUACAGCUACGGUCGAAGCAGAUUGGCUUCGCCGGCUCUUGAAUGACUUGCCGGUUGUUGAGAAACCUGUACCGGGUAUCCUUAUGAACUGCGACAAUCAAACUGUGAUCACAAAAGUGAGCAACUCAAAGGAUAACAUGAAGUCAUCGAGACACGUUCAGAGAAGGUUAAAGUCUGUCAGGAAAAUGAGAAAGUCCAGAGUUAUCGCAUUGGAUUAUAUCCAAACGUCUAAAAAUCUGGCAGAUCCUUUUACUAAGGGUCUAUCACGUAAUGUGAUAGAUAAUGCAUCGAGGGAGAUGGGUAUGAGACCCACAAUUUGA